This 274-nucleotide ribosomal RNA is filed under the name uncultured bacterium. Its description in RNAcentral is "partial 16S ribosomal RNA". It matches the Rfam family "Bacterial small subunit ribosomal RNA", at positions 523 to 796 of the family's 1533-position model. The record is from RNAcentral.
AUACGGAGGAUCCAAGCGUUGUCCGGAUUUAUUGGGUUUAAAGGGUGCGUAGGCGGACUAUUAAGUCAGAGGUGAAAGUUUGCAGCUUAACUGUAAAAUUGCCUUUGAAACUGAUAGUCUUGAGUAUAGUUGAGGUGGGCGGAAUGUGUCAUGUAGCGGUGAAAUGCUUAGAUAUGAUACAGAACACCGAUUGCGAAGGCAGCUCACUAAACUAUAACUGACGCUGAGGCACGAAAGCGUGGGGAGCGAACAGGAUUAGAUACCCUAGUAGUCC